AAUAAACCUGAUUGUUGUGCCGCUGGGAUGCGCUCUGUCGGGAGUGGUGACGUCACCUCUUGGUCGACGCCGAGCCAUGCAGGCGGUCAAUCUGCCCUUCAUCAUCGCCUGGCUACUCUUCUACUACUCGAAGACCCCUGUUUACCUCUAGGCCGCUCUCUUUCUAACCGGUCUCGCUGGAGGAUUGCUUGAAGCGCCAGUGCUGACUUACGUUGCGGAGAUCACGCAGCCGCACUUGCGCGGCUCGUUGUCCGCCACCAGUUCGAUGUGUGUCAUCCUCGGAGUGUUCACUCAAUUCCUGUUCGGUACAUUGAUGAACUGGCGUACGGUAGCACUUGUGAACAUUAGUUUUACAAUAGUAGCCGUCAUUGCACUAUUCUUUAUCCCGGAAUCACCGCAUUGGCUGAUAUCAAGAAACCGAGACUACGAAGCUAAGA
Papilio machaon (common yellow swallowtail) is the source of this 437-nucleotide long non-coding RNA. RefSeq lists it as uncharacterized. The transcript is spliced from 3 exons. The record is from RefSeq and is a predicted model, not a curated record. Lineage: Eukaryota; Metazoa; Arthropoda; Insecta; Lepidoptera; Papilionidae.